Molecule: non-coding RNA, 223 nt
Organism: Pelobates cultripes (western spadefoot toad)
Lineage: Eukaryota; Metazoa; Chordata; Amphibia; Anura; Pelobatidae
Source: the annotation of a GenBank genome assembly
GGUUCAACUACCUGAUGCAGGGCGGACAUCCAGACCCAGACAUGUCCACGGCCCACAUAGUAUUGUUACCCAAACCGGGAAAAGAUACGACUUACCCCGAACAUUACAGACCCAUAUUGUUGAUCAACCACGACGUAAAAAUACUAGCCAAGAUACUAGCGGACAGACUAUCUCCACACUUAACGAACCUAGUCCACGCAGAUCAGGUGGGCUUCAUCCCCGG